Molecule: ribosomal RNA, 409 nt
Filed under: uncultured bacterium
Lineage: Bacteria
Description: bacterial SSU rRNA
Rfam family: Bacterial small subunit ribosomal RNA
Source: RNAcentral
AACGAACGCUGGCGGCAUGCCUAACACAUGCAAGUCGAACGAGACCUUCGGGUCUAGUGGCGCACGGGUGCGUAACGCGUGGGAACCUGCCUUUAGGUUCGGAAUAACUCAGAGAAAUUUGAGCUAAUACCGGAUAAUGUCUUCGGACCAAAGAUUUAUCGCCUUUAGAUGGGCCCGCGUUGGAUUAGCUAGUUGGUGGGGUAAAGGCCUACCAAGGCGACGAUCCAUAGCUGGUCUGAGAGGAUGAUCAGCCACACUGGGACUGAGACACGGCCCAGACUCCUACGGGAGGCAGCAGUGGGGAAUAUUGGACAAUGGGCGAAAGCCUGAUCCAGCAAUGCCGCGUGAGUGAUGAAGGCCUUAGGGUUGUAAAGCUCUUUACUCGGGACGAUAAUGACGGUACCGAGAG